This 700-nucleotide ribosomal RNA is filed under the name uncultured bacterium. RNAcentral describes it as "bacterial SSU rRNA". It matches the Rfam family "Bacterial small subunit ribosomal RNA", at positions 8 to 717 of the family's 1533-position model. The record is from RNAcentral.
AGAGUUUGAUCAUGGCUCAGGACGAACGCUGGCGGCGUGCUUAACACAUGCAAGUCGAGCGGGGUCCAACUUGUCGCAAGACAAGGGAAGACCUAGCGGCGAACGGGUGAGUAACACGUGAGCAACCUGCCCCGAAGACUGGGAUAACACCGGGAAACCGGUGCUAAUACCGGAUACCCUCGGUGGGUCACAUGGCCUGACGAGGAAAUGGAUUCCGCUUCGGGAGGGGCUCGCGGCCUAUCAGCUUGUUGGUGGGGUAACGGCCCACCAAGGCUACGACGGGUAGCUGGUCUGAGAGGACGGCCAGCCACACUGGGACUGAGACACGGCCCAGACUCCUACGGGAGGCAGCAGUGGGGAAUCUUGCGCAAUGGGCGAAAGCCUGACGCAGCAACGCCGCGUGCGGGACGAAGGCCUUCGGGUUGUAAACCGCUUUCAGCAGGGACGAACAUGACGGUACCUGCAGAAGAAGCCCCGGCCAACUACGUGCCAGCAGCCGCGGUAAUACGUAGGGGGCGAGCGUUGUCCGGAUUUAUUGGGCGUAAAGAGCUCGUAGGCGGUUUGGCAAGUCGGGUGUGAAAACUCCGGGCUCAACUCGGAGACGCCACUCGAUACUGCCAUGACUCGAGUCCGGUAGGGGAGUGCGGAAUUCCUGGUGUAGCGGUGAAAUGCGCAGAUAUCAGGAGGAACACCGGUGGCG